RNAcentral lists this transfer RNA (63 nucleotides) under Cumberlandia monodonta. RNAcentral describes it as "tRNA-Met". The record is from RNAcentral. Lineage: Eukaryota; Metazoa; Mollusca; Bivalvia; Unionida; Margaritiferidae.
AAUGAGGUAAGCUAAUUUCAAGCUAGUGGGCUCAUAACCCAAAAAUGACAACCUCCCUCAUUA